GAGGGAGAAGAGGAUGUGGUGAUGGAUGACCUGAUGGUGGAAUGGUUCAACCUCAUCAGAAACAAGCUAGGUGUCCAUGAGGAGAGAGUCUGAACUGGUCUACAUAGCGAAGACACAGGACUUGGAGGAACAGCAGCCCAGUGUAGAGCAGGAGCUGAGGAGACUCAUGGACAAACCUGAGCGGCUGAAGACGUUGUGGGACCGUCGUAGAGAAGAGGAGUUGAUGGUCAAGCUGGUGGAGAUCACAAUGACAGAAACGCCAUCAUAGACGGACUGGACGAUGACAGACUCAGGGAGGAUGAGGAAGAUGAACAGCUCAAUAAGAUGAUGAAGACCCUAGACACAAAGAAAGAAAAGAAGAAGAAGAAGUCAAGCUUUAAGUUGUUUGGUAGAAACAAGAAGGAGGGAUGAUCUCACAGGGAGGAACUCUGGGAUACACUGUUACCCUGCUUGAGAUGUGGUUAUCACUGUUACCCUGCUUGAGAUGUGGUUAUCACUGUUACCCUGCUUGAGAUGUGGUUAUCACUGUUACCCUGCUUGAGAUGUGGUUAUCACUGUUACCCUGCUUGAGAUGUGGUUAUCACUGUUACCCUGCUUCAGAUGUGGUUAUCACUGUUACCCUGCUUGAGAUGUGGUUAUCACUGUUACCCUGCUUGA
Oncorhynchus keta (chum salmon) is the source of this 657-nucleotide long non-coding RNA. RefSeq lists it as uncharacterized. The record is from RefSeq and is a predicted model, not a curated record. The transcript is spliced from 5 exons. Lineage: Eukaryota; Metazoa; Chordata; Actinopteri; Salmoniformes; Salmonidae.